AUUGAACGCUGGCGGCAGGCCUAACACAUGCAAGUCGAACGGCAGCACAGAAGAGCUUGCUCUUUGGGUGGCGAGUGGCGGACGGGUGAGUAAUGUCUGGGAAACUGCCCGAUGGAGGGGGAUAACUACUGGAAACGGUAGCUAAUACCGCAUAACGUCGCAAGACCAAAGUGGGGGACCUUCGGGCCUCACACCAUCGGAUGUGCCCAGAUGGGAUUAGCUAGUAGGUGGGGUAAUGGCUCACCUAGGCGACGAUCCCUAGCUGGUCUGAGAGGAUGACCAGCCAGACUGGAACUGAGACACGGUCCAGACUCCUACGGGAGGCAGUAGUGGGGAAUAUUGCACAAUGGGCGCAAGCCUGAUGCAGCCAUGCCGCGUGUAUGAAGAAGGCCUUCGGGUUGUAAAGUACUUUCAGCGGGGAGGAAGGCGGUGAGGUUAAUAACCUCGCCGAUUGACGUUACCCGCAGAAGAGGCACCGGCUAACUCCGUGCCAGCAGCCGCGGUAA
This 506-nucleotide ribosomal RNA is filed under the name uncultured bacterium. RNAcentral's name for it is "partial 16S ribosomal RNA". It matches the Rfam family "Bacterial small subunit ribosomal RNA", at positions 29 to 523 of the family's 1533-position model. The record is from RNAcentral.